UACUACCCGGUCCCAGCCCAUCAAUUUUUAGGAUAAGAUCUUCUAUUUGCUCUAAGGUUUCUCUGCCAUCCAACACAAUUAAAACUUUUUUACGUGAAAUCCUUCUCUUGGAGAAAGUGGCUUCUAUGUAGGAUGCAUCAGGAUGAAUAUUUUCCUCCUCUAACAAUGAGGAUAAAAGUUUAUUGUAUACAACAUUAUGUCCAUACCUGUUUGAUUCAUCAAUUACAUUGAGAAAGCAACAACCUUCAAAUUGAGAAUAAAUUAUAGCAUAUGAAGCCCUAGCAAGAGUGGUCUUUCCUAUGCCACCCAUGCCCCAUAUUCCAAGGACUCUAACAUCAUUUGAGCCAAUUUUCAGUAUUGACUCAAUUUGGUCAUAAUUUUUCUCAACUCCAACAAGCCCCUUAAUUUCACAUGGGUAUCUAAGAUUCAGUUUCCGCAAAACAUUUUUAACAAUGUCCUUAAUGAAGUCCGAUUCGAUCCUAGAAUAUGAACGAGGGGAAGAAGAUUUUACAAGUCUAACAAAUACAAUAGUAGAAAAGUACAUCUAUAUGAUUAGUAUACAAAAUUUAUAGUCAAUAAGGUGACAGUGGCUUAGUAGAGCAAGAAACAAACAAAAAUUAGAUUUGGGGAAACAAAAUACCAAAGACACAAGGUAAUAAAUGUAUAUUUUCUAUGACUUUGGUAGUUUUCAGAAGGUUGUGUCAACUAUUACUUUGGCCUGUUUAUUUUCAAAAAUUAUUUUUAGUGUUUGUUUUCUAAAAUUUAUGUUCAUUUCCAAUUAAGAAUAUGGAGAUGAAAGACUCAUGUAGUAAAUAGCUGUGCUAUAUUAGAAAACAAAACAUGUAAAUGAUAUGAAAUAGUUUAUUUAUUUUACUUCGAAUUUUUUCGUUUUGUUUACCUGUAAUUUUGAGAGUCCCAACCAACUAAACUAGCUGCCUCAGUGAGUGCAUCUUUCCAUUCCUGUAACUUGUCAUUAUUGCUCUUCAAAUCUCGCUUAUGUUUUGCGAAGGCUUGCUUGUAACUCCCAGUCUGCUUCCUCACAUGUGAUGGAUCUAUGUUGUAAAAAACAGGUAUCACAAUCUGUACCAUAUAUUUCUUGCAUUCAAGAAUCUUUUUGAGCUCAUUCAAGCACCAUUUUGAGGAAGCAUAGUUUUCUGAGAAGAUGACAAUAGACACAUGUGACUCCUCAAUGGCUCUGAUGAGUGCUGGCGAUAUCUUAUCUCCUUUUUGAAGCUCAUUGUUGUCUAUAAAGGUUUCAACUUUCUUUCGGCUCCGAGCAUCAUAAAGAUGGCAUGUGAAGUUUCUGCGGGUAUCCUCACCUCGAAAGCUAAGAAAAACGUCAUAUUUUUUCACAGAUGCCACAGAAGAAGAAAAAACACUGUUUGUUUGCUUCCUAGCCAUUAUGAAUUCCAAGCGCUGCGCUAAUCACAAUGCUACACUCAAACAUAAAAAAUAUUUGAUGUUUAAAUUUGUUCUCGGUUACUUUUUGUACUGGCACUCGUGAUAGUGUUACAUAUUGAGAUUUAUAAAUCAGAUUGACAUCAGAUCAGGCAGUUCAAAGUCCACAUAUUGCUCAUAUAUCGACCUAGGUAAUGUGUAUUUUUUGAUCUAGGAAAGCNACAAUUGUAAAUCCCGCCUUAUUUGCUUGACGACGCACCCACUCAAGCAAUUCAUCUCUAUCUUUCGACAUAACGUCGUCUGACAAAAAAACUAGCCGUGUCGACCUCGUGGGCUUGAAGUGGGAGGACACCGGAGCCGCCAACAUACUUUGAAGCUUCAACAUGGAAGGAAGCUCCAUCAAUGUUUGAUUUCGCUUCACUUUAGGCGGUUUGACAUCUCCGGAAAUUUCGACAAAAUUUUGUUUUGUCUCUCCCGAAACAUCUUCCGCGUUCUCUACCAUUACUAUAAUUAAACAACACAUAAAUAUGAAUUAACAACUAACUAAUGUAUAAACAUCAAUGCCAUAAUGAAUUAAAACAAAAAAACAAAAAAAAGAAUUUUUUUUUUGAAAAACUGGCAGUAGCUGCCAUUUUUUCGAUGUGAAAAUUUUUCACAAGAGUUCCUCGGCACCUUACUACCGAGGUUUUCCUCGGCACUACACUAUCGACGUUUUCCUCGGCAAUUAACUGCCGAGGAUUCCCAUGACAAGGUUCUAUGUAACUGACGUAGAUACCCAUAAAAUAGCCCAAAAAUCAAUCGAAUAAAAUGCACAAUACCUAUUUUUUACGUCAAAACUGUGUUGAUACCUCCUAUGCUUGAUGCUUGAAUGAUUUUGGAUCAAUAAUUGAUUAAAAAAAAUGGAUUUUGGGAUUGAAUAAUGGAGGUGGAAAUGAAGUUGAUGAAGAAAAUAGUGUGUAGGGGGAGCAGGUGGUUGUUUCAUCUGAUGAAACAUUCUCUCGGCAGUUAACUGCAGCCGGAAUUCAAAUUCCUCGGCAGUUAACUGCCGAGGGGGUAAAAUCGUAUUUUACUAGUGUGUCACAGCCUUAUCAAAUGUGGGAACAACAAUUCUCAUUUGUUUAAGGUGAUGGUGAAAAGAAGGUGAAGAAAGGGAGAAAUAAUUAGGUGUUUUUGACUCACCGUAAGAUAAAAUACACCUGUAUAAUUGAAUGAUCAUCUUUUUAAAAAAACAUAUCAAGGGUUUAAAUUAAAAAUUUUCAUAAGGUCUAUGGUGGACUACUUUUAAGAUUGAUUCACAAUAGACAUUUGGGGGUUAAACUUAACACCAAUGAUUUAUUUGGCAAACAGAAGAAAAGAUGAAGGACUUAAAGGUACGUUUUAUUAAUUUUGGGACCAAAAUGAAAAGUUAAAAUUAAUUAAGGGAUCAUUGGAUCAAAUAAACCUAACAUUAACCAAGAGGAAGAAAUUUCGGAUAACGUAUAACAAAUGAUGUUAAAGUGACGGAUUGCAUUACUAUCCAGUAACAAUAAGAUUAGCAGAAUUAAUAAUAGGAACGUAGUUUUAUAUUUGUUUGUUAUGUUCUGAGUAAUAAUAGAUAAUUUAGUUGUAUAUCCUUACAUAUAAAUAACUUCGUAUUUUUUUUUGUCAAUUGUUUAGUGGUUAAAACUCACACAUUUUUUAUUAAAAAAAAAAAAAAAACUAAGAUAAGAAAAUGGGGUUAAGAUGACCGGUUCCAAUCUACUUUCUAUCAACAAAAAAAUGGGUUUAUGCCCCGCUAAAUAAAAUAACAAUAAUAAAAUAAAUAUAAUAACCAUAUUAAUUAAUAAAUAACAAAGAUAAGAAAUGGGAUUAAGAAAGGAAGGAAGGAAAAAUCCAAAGUGUCUUCUAGGAGCAAAGGUGUCAUGACAUUAUUAUUAGUAUUUUAUGGAACAAUAUUUAGGGUAGCAUGCCUCAUUCUAGUUUAAGAAAAAAUUCAAGGUUCAAUAAAUGCUUGCAUAAAUACUUACAUACUAUUCAUUAAUUAAAUAUAAGUUGCAUUCUUACAAAAUUGCUGACAUGACAUUAUUCUUUAACAAGCAUACAAAGAAAUAUGACAUUAGAGAUAGUGACCCUUUAAGUAAAAAUAUGUACAUCCUCCGAUUAUAAAAAAAUUAAUAUUUUAUAUUCAUUCAUUAAAUUAUGUUUCAUUAAAUUAUGUAUGUGGUUAAUAAUAAAGACUAUAUACAUCAUUUAAUGAAUGAAUCUAAAAUGUUAAUUUUUGCCUAUAAUAAUAAUAUAAUAAUAAUCGGAGGAUGUAUUAUGAAUUUGUCAAUAUGCGUGGUCAGAUCAGAUGCAUAAAAAAUAAAACUUACAUUGUGAAUUCAAUUUCCUAUAUUAAAACUUACAGUGUGAAUCUAAUUUCCUGUAUUAAAACUUAAGGUGUGAAUCUAAUUUUCUAUAUUAAAGUAAAUAGUUGUUACAUGAGGUCCAUUUCUUUUUAUUUGUUUCUUACCAAUCAAUUUCAGUAACCUUUAAACAAAUGUCAUAUUGUUGAAUCGUGAACUUUCUUCACACGUUCAAUGGCUGGUCCAAUUGAGAAAAUAUUAAUGAAUACAUGCUUUGAUAAAUUAUUUAUCAAAAACUGAUUUAUAUACUUUUUAUACACAAGGAAUUGAGUUGGACAAACCCCUUCACUCCGACCUCAUCCCCCAACCUCUCUCACUGCCAAUUUCAAGUGUGUUUAGCUGAGAAAAAGUUAUGUAAUAUUUUGAGGAAAUUCAAAUUCUUUUAAAUAAAUUUUGUUUGUUUGAAUGAUUAAAUUUAGAGAAUUUAUCAUAUUAAUGAAAUUCUAUGAAGUAUUAUGUUAAGUUAAAUUGAGUGAAUUUCAAAUGAUAUCUAAGGUUUAAGAAUUUCAAAUUUCCUACUAGAUAUAUAUUUCAAAAUUUCCAAGUUGGUCCCCAUAUUUUUCAAAAAAAAUAAAUUGACCCUUAAAUAUUUAAAAUAAAUUGCAAAUUGAUCCUUACAAUUUCUUGAAAAUUAUAAAUUGACCACUUUCAAUUUUUGAAAUCUACAAAUCAGCCCUCUAUUUUUCAAUUUUCAAAUUUGGCCCAAAAUUUUAGAAUAUAUAAAAGUAAGUAGCACAAAAAUAUAACUGAAGUAUUUUAUCACUGUAUCCAAACAAAAAUAUUUAAAAAUAAAGGCAUCUAGCGUCGAUCAUCUCACAAGGUGUUGGGAUGAUUUAUACCGCCGCUUUGAAAAUUAGAACUCUAAGACUAAGAAGGAAAAGAUGAAGGGAACUUGCUACAAAUGGUAUUAUUAAUGUGGCUUGGUGGAACUCUUUACCCUUCUUUACUAGGGAUGACUUUUAUAAAGACCGCUAUGAAUUUUUAAAUUAUCGUUCUCCAUAUCUCUUUGUAUUUUAAUUUGGUUUAUGUUUUGGUUUGGUCCUCCUCUGGUACGGUUUUUCAUUUUUUCAAUAAAUUUUUAGAUCAAGCUGACAUAGGAUGUGGUGAUUUUGAAGUGUCAACAUAGUUGAGAUGUCAAACCUUCUUUUUCAUUGUUGGAGCUUAUGACUUCACCUCCAAUUGCUGAAGGCUGUAACUCAUUAUAAUUUUCCUGCCCACCAGAAUAUUGAGCACUGAAUUUUAAUUUACCAAUUUCCCUACCAUCCAGAUCUGACUUAUGUUCUAAGUUAUAUACAGGUAAGACCCCACACCCCUUUAUCCCCUCCGUUGACCACCACAAUUCUUCAUUGACAUCAUGAUCUGAAAUUAAUACAUGAUCUGAAAUUAAUGUCCCAAUAUAAUUGCAAGCAAAAGUAAAACACGUUUCAACUUCUUUGCCGUUUUCAAAGAUGACACAAUGCAGGGGGUGAUUGCAAAUAUGGAAGCCCUUAGAAAGAAUGGUGCAGAAUAUGAAACCAGACAGGUUAUAUUUUGGAAUAGGAGGAAUGGUUAUUGAAGCCUUUAUUGUUUGAAAAUCAAACUUGCGAGGAACUUGUGCUCCUGGCAAGAUAGAGAAAUAAAAAUCAUCAUGUUCAUUUGCAUGAAAAGGGUAUUUAGAGAAGAUUUGUACCAUGUUCUCAAGAAAUGACCGUUGAGUGGAGUCUGUGUCCAGAUAAGUGCAAUUAAUGGCACUCAAAGAUAAUAGGGAUGGCGGAAGCUCUGUUACAGACACAAGUUUCCUGCAAUCAUCUAAAGCUAGACUUUUUAGCAUUGAAUGGUUUUGUAUGUUCUCGGGGAGACAUUCCAUGUUGCAACACUCAUGCAAUGAGAGCCAUUUUAAAGACUGUAUGCCAUCAAGGAUAGACCACAGACUUAAUGCAUUGAUUUCUGUGCACCCUAAAAGGUCUAGCUCGGUAACAGACCCAAGUCCAUGAUCAUUUGUUAACUUAUUCCCAACAAUGUUAAGCUUGUUACACUCGGAUAGGCCAAGCGAAGUAAGUUUUCUGUUACGCCAAAUCGAUGAAGACAAUUCACGUAUAGCAGUGCCACCUAAGGUCAACUCUGUCAUUUCAUCUGAUGUCACCGAAAAUUCUGUGAGAGAUGCACAACCAUCGAGUAAGAGUUCACGAAGAGAUUUUGAAUGAAUGUUGGUUUUAAGGCUUUCAAUCUUUUUGCAGUCUCGUAAAUCUAGAUAUCUAAGAUCAGGGAGAGAAAAGAUGGAAGGAUGGAGCUGACCCAGGCUUUCACAUUGAAAAAGAUAUACUCUAUGAAGAUUUGUAGCCUUAGAUAAGUCUGGGAUCUCAAUCAGAUUUUUGGAGGAUUCAAGCCAAAGUAUGUUUAGAUUCACAAGAUUCUGUAAAAAGAAAUAAAAACACCAUUUAAAUUCAUAAAUAGAGAAACUAAACCUAAUUAAGCAUAAAUAGAGACUUUUUAAGAAUGAGCAUUAGACUUCCUCUCAUACUUCAACAAAUUAACAAGUAUAUCCAAACACAUUUGUACCUGAACUCCAUCCCAUAGCUUUUUAAGCUUGCUAUGACUCAAGUGAAGCUCUAUGAGCAUUUCAGCACAAAAGGUUGAUGGCAAAUACUCAAGACAGUAUCCUUCCCAUCGAAGAUACCUCAAUUUAUCAGAAAUCCACUCAAGACCAUCGGGAAAGUACACAUUGCACGUGUUUCCUCUAGAUUUAUUAUAGAUUUUAAGAUAUCUUAAAUUUGUCAUCCUUCUAAAGGAAUUAGACUUCAAGUAAAGAUCCCCCACAUCUGUACUAUCGAAUGUUAUCCCUUCGACAGCUUUAGUUCCCUGAUAAAAAUUAAAUUAAUAAUUAGGAAUGGUUGUCACGUAUACUUUCCUUGUUAUAUUUCAUAAUCAAAUACAUGUGUUAUUUUCAUGUAGAAGUGCUUGCAUCCUCUACUUACCUUGUUAUUUUUCAAUACAUCAGAAAUACAUCAGAUAUCUCAUCAGCUUUCCACAGUCGACUUCGUUUUCCAGGGUCUUCAGAUUCUUGAUUAACAAUUUCCCGUCCCAUUUCUUGUAACAAAUCAUGCAUUUCUAUAAUACAAACUUCCCAUUUGACAUGCAAAAUUGAACCUAGUUGAAUGAGAGCCUUAUCUAGAAGGACUUCUAUCCCACUUAUUGCAAAGAACUCACAAGCUUCCAAUAGAUCUCUUACAAAAGUUUUAUCUUUUCCAUUCAACAAGCAUGCGAUGUCUAGAAAUAUGGCCUUCUGACAAUGAUCUAAAUCAUCAUAACUCAAUUUUAACACAUCAUAAAUCUUUCGAUUGGGAAUCUUUUGGAGCUUUUUCAGUUCAUUUUCCCAUGCUUCUCGGCCCCUUGAACUGAGAUUUGCACCUAAAACUUUUAAAGCCAGAGGGUUACCUUUGCAAUAGGCAAUUACACUAUCUGAUAGAUCUUCAUAUCCAGUUUUAGGAUGUUUUUCUUUGAAGGCAAUCAAACUGAAUAGCUGAAGAGAAUCAGGCUUCUCUAAUUCCUUAACCUCAUAUAUUUCACAUUUACUCAACUGACUAAAUAUCUGCUUAUCUCUAGUUGUAAUAAUGACCCUACUACCUGGUCCUAGACCAUCAAUUUUUAGGAUAAGAUCUUCUAUUUGUUCUAAGGUUUCUACACCAUCCAAAACAAUUAAAACUUUUUUACGCCCAAUCCUUCUCUCGGAGAAAGGGGCUUCUAUGUAGGAUGCAUCAGGAUGAAUAUUUUCUUCCUCUAACAAUGAAGACAGAAGUUUAUUGUGUAGAACAUUGAGUCCAUACUUGUUUGAUUCAUCCAUUACAUUGAGGACGCAACGACCUUCGAAUUGGGAAAAAUGUUUAGCAUAUAAUGUCUUAGCAAGGGUGGUCUUUCCUAUCCCACCCAUGCCCCAUAUUCCAAGUACUCUGACUUCAUUUGACCCAAUUUUCAGCAUUGAUUCAAUUUGUUCGUAAUUUUUCUCAAUUCCAACAAGCCCCUUAAUUUCAUAUGGGUACCUAAUAUUCAGUUUCCGCAAAACAUCUUCAACAAUGUCUUUAAUGAAGUCUGGUUCACUCCUAACAUAUGAAAGAUGGGAAGAAUGUUUUACAACAAAAGAAAAAUGCAUUCAUAUAUAUGAUUAGGACAUAAUAAAAUUUAUAUUCAACAUGGUGGCAGAGUAGAGCACAUAAAGAAAAUCAAUUACGUAAGACACAGAAGAUAAUUAAUGUCUUAUUUUUUUAGGAAGUGAAAUCCUAAAGAAAAUUCCAAAAAAUUGUAUAGAUUUUAAAAAAAUUGUAUGAUAACUAUGGCCAGGCACAUCAACAUCAUUGUUUACUUUCUAAAGUUAUUAUUAGCUUUCAUUUUCUCAAAUUUAUGUUCAUUUCCAAUCACGAAUAUGGAAAUGAAAAACUUGUGUAGUAAAAAAUUGUGCUAUAUUAGAAAACAAAACUUGCAAAUCAUAGGAUAUAGUUUAUUGAUUUACUUAGGAUAGUUCGUUUUACUUACCUAUAAUUUCGAGAGUCCCAACCAACCAAAUUAGCUGCCUCGGUGAGAGAAUCUUUCCAUUUCUUCAACUUGUCAUUAUUGUGCUUCAAAUCUUGCUUAUGUUUUGCAAAGGCUUGCUUGUAACUCCCGGUCUGCUUCCUCACAUGUGAUGGAUCUAUGUUGUAAAAAACUGGUAUCACAAUCUGUUGCAUAUAUUUCUUGCAUUCAAGAAUCUUUUUGAGCUCAUUCAAGCACCAUUUUGAGGAAGCAUAGUUUUCUGAGAAGAUGACAAUAGAUGCAUGUGACUCCUCAAUGGCUUUGAUGAGUGCUGCCGAGAUCUCAUCUCCUUUUCGAAGCUCAUUGUUGUCUAUAAAUGUUUCAACUUUCUUUCGGCUCAAAGCAUCAUAAAGAUGGCUAGUGAAGUUUCUGCGAGUAUCCUCACCUCGAAAGCUAAGAAAAACGUCAUAUUUUUUCUGAGGCACCACAUCAGAAGAAACUAUAGAGGAAAAGGCACUGCUCAUUUUCGGCACGGCAGUUAUGAAUUCCAAGUGCCUGCACUGAUUAGGCCACUAAUCACAAUGCUACAAUAAAAAAGAAGUAAUGUUUAAUUAGAGAAAGUAGUAGAUAAAUUAAAAUUGAGGGAAAAAAGAUUAUACGUACCAAAGUCAGAAUCCAGCUUCAUGCAAUAGAGGAGAAGAAUACUGUAAAAGUUAUAAUCCAGCUUCCGGAAUUAAUUUUGGAUGAGCACACACAAACUCUUCAUAAUGCUUUGGUUGGUCAUGAUGUAUAUUGUAUAUAGAUGUAAUGUGUGGUUAUCCUUCAAGGAAGUUUCGUUUGCUUAAACAUUGUGUUUGGUAGAGGUGAUUUAUGAGAGAGAAAUAGGUGAGAGAGAGAGAUACAAGAGAAAUGUUGUAUUUCUUCAGUUUGCUAAUAUUAUGUUUUAAAAAAUAAUUUGUUAGUUGUCAUUAACUAUUCUGUUAUCAUUUGAAUAGGAGGAAUAUGACCGACAACUUGCCGAGGCUCUUUCUAAAGGGUUAACUGUUGAUCAUAGUUUGGCCCUCCAAAUUUGGACCAAAGUUGCUGGCGAUAAAACCAAAGGAAAAUUAUAUGGUGCCGGUAACUUGACCGCUAACUACCGGAAGGGUGUUGCAACAACCCUCAGAUUUACCCUUAAUCAUGGCGAAGGAUCCUCCCAGCAGCCUGCACUGACCCCUGAGAUGCAUGACCUUAUUCAAAGAUUGACUCAAGAGCAGCUCACCCAGCAAAUGGCGAGACAUGAGGCCGUUGUACAAGAUUUGCUUAGCCGCCAACGAACAUAUGAGGAGCAACUGGCUCAAUUUCGGCAAGCACAUGAGGAUGGGAAUUCAAGUCAGCAAGCGUCAGUUCCAGAUCCCAAUGUAGAGCCUUUUCCAAUUUAUGGCGAAGGUGGAAGCGAAGGAAGCAAGGAGAUUGAGAGCGAUGAUGAGGAGUGAAGUUGGACCCUUAUGAUGUGUUCAUGCAUGUUAUUUUAUUUUGCUUUUAUUAUCUAUGGUGUGUAAUAUUUGGGAAAGUUUGUUAUGCUUCGUGAUACAAUUGCUACUUAUUUGCUACUUAUGGUCUAUAACAUUAUUCCCUAUGAUUUUAAUUUCAUUACUGUUGGACUUAAUAUUUUGUGGGUGCUAUUACUUUAAUUUUUAUUCUUAACUACUUAUUUUAAAGCAAUUAAAUUAAAAAAACCAUGUGUUUUAAAUUAUUUUAAAUGAUUUUAAAAUAAUGAAAUUAAAAAAAGCAAUUUAAAAUCGUUUUUAAAUUUAUUUUAAUAAUUAAUUUUAAUUAUUUUAAUGAAAUUAACGUUUUUAAAAAACAAUUAAAAACCAUUUUUUAAAAAAAUUAUCUCUGCAAUUUGCCAGGGGUAUACCCCUUGCAAUACUCCUGUCAUAUUUUGGGUCAGACUGCAGCUGAUUGACAGCGCGUAAGUUCUGCAGUGCGUCAGAAAAGCCUGCAGUGCGUCAGGUAAGCAGGUUGUUGAGUCAGACAAUUAGUCAGGGCCCUGCCAGGGGUUUUUCCAGGAGUUAUAAGAGGGGUUUAGACAGGAGUGUGUCCCACGCAGAUUUGCAGCCCUGGCAUAGCAAUUUGCUAUGAGCGCAUUUGCCACUGAUUCAACUCCUCACAAAAGCCCUGGCAAAUGGCUUUUUCCCAGGGAUUCUUGCAAUUUCACAAGGAAUCCACCCCUGGCUAAUUGCAGGAUUUCUUGUAGUGUUCAAUUGUUUUUCUCUGCUAUUCUCCCUUGUUCAUAAUUGUGGUUCAAAGUACCAAAGGGAAUGGAUUAGGUAUGACAAUUUAUCAUUAAAUAUUCCAAUUUAAUAAAUGACACAUGUUGAACAUUAUUUGUUGCAUUACUUAAUAACUCUCGGAUGCCAUGCCUCAAAACACAAAUGAAUCAAAUGAUGGUAGUAUUUGGCAAAUAAUUUAUAAUAAUAUCUAGAACGAAAUUUGUUUCUUUAAUUAAUAAGACCUCCAUUGCUGCAAGUGGCAAAGUACUUGGAUCAAUUCAUUGGUUCAGGUUGUAAGGCAUUUGAUCCUUUUUAGCAAGUGAUCAAAGGUUUGAUCUCUGACUCUUGUAUAUGAAAAAAAGAAUCCAAUUAGAAGUAGAGAACUCAUCUUGUAUAUCUCACGGGUUCUCUGACGCAGAUUAAUCACCGCUAAAAUUCUUGUGUUUCUUAUCAACAUUUUCUCAUAACAAUAAGCAUUUUCCAUCAUGUUAAGUCCUUUUCUAUUUAAAAAUGAUCUGCAAUGCUAGGGAGAAUGAUAGAUGGUAAGAAACAUGGAAGUUCCCAACUUCCAAAAGAUCCUACUGAAAGGCAAUAAAUAAGCCUAUGGGUGCUCAAAUAUUGUUCUGAAUGAAAGCAAGUUGAUUACCAAAUAAACUACCCUCCCCAAGUGGAUAGCAUAGGGGCAAGUUCCCAAAUUCAAAUACAUGAAACUAGGAUUAUGUUAAUGAAUACCGAUGUGAUUACUGCAAAACGAAGAAGAACGACAAGUCAUUUAGUUACAAAGCAGAUGUUUGAAGAAAGAGGAGUUCAAGUACCAAGAAACACAACAGAAAACAACUGCAUAAAUUUAGGAAGUUUUCUGCCAUGGUAAAAGUAACAAGCAACCUAUCAUUGCACAGCUUGAUAUCACCAGUCUACUGCAUCAACACAUACUGUUGAGUGAAUGUAAUGAUGUUGUGCUCAUUUUACUUGGGAAACAGGAGAAAGAGACCAAAAAACAUUUCUGACUUCUAUUAUUCUUUUGAUCGUUUUAACAAGUGCCUCAUCAAAGAACCUGUCCAAUGUUAUUGCAACAAGACGAAUAUUAUUUUCUAGAAUCACAAGAUUUUUGAAACAAUUCUUCAUUUUGAAGAUUUUUCAAUUAAAAAAAAAACUAAUAUGGAAUGUAUAACUAGAGAGUGGGUUUUGAGUUUCAUACCUAUUGAACAAGAAGGUUGUUCUUGGUAUUCUUCAUUAUCAUUGUUAGAGCUUCCGACUUCACCUUCAAUUUUUCUUGGCUGUCAUCAAUAUCAUUUUUCAAAUCAAAAUCAAAUUCACCAGAGUCCUGAGCACUGGAUUUUAAUUUUGAUUUAACUAUUUCCUCACGACUACUACUUAUAACAUACAGCUCCGACUCACUUUUCAAGUCAUAUACAGGUAAGACUCCACACCCCUUUAUCCCCUCUGUUGACCACCACAAUUGUUCCUUUUGACCUUGAAGUAGGAACUGAAAUGAUAGGUUGCAAAAGUCAUGACUUCCAGUUUCUUGUUUGUUGUAACCAUUCCAGCAUAUCAAUACAUGAUCUGAAAUUAAUGUCCCAAGAUAUUUGCAACUAAUACGACAUCUGUCGACUUCUUUGCCAAAGUUGCAUGCAACUUCUACACCUGACAAGAGAGAAAAAUGACGAACACCAUCUUCAUCAGGAGUGUCUUUAGAGAAAGUUCGUACCAUGUUCUCAAGCAAUAACCGUUGAGUGGAGUUCAUAUCCAGAUAAUUGCAGUUAACAGCUGUCAAAUAUAACAGGGAUGCUGGAAGCUCUGCUAGAGACACAAGUUUCCUGCAAUCAUCUAAAUCAAGCCAUUUUAGGAUUGAAUGGUUUUGGAUAUUCUCGGGGAGACUUUCUAAGUUGCAGCACUCAUUCAAUAUUAGCUGUUUUAAAGAUUGUAUGCCAUCAAGGAUGGACCAAAGACUUAAUGCAUUGAUUUCUGUGCACCCUGAAAGGUCUAGCUUUGUAACAGACCACAGUCCAUGAUCAUCUCUUAACUUAUUCCCAACAAUUUUAAGCUUGUUACACUCAGAUAGGCCAAGCCAAGUAAGUUUGCUAUUGCGCCAAAUCGAUGAAGACAAUUCACGUAUAGCAGUGCCGCCUAAGGUCAACUCUGUCAUUUCCUCCGAUGUCACCAAAAAUUCUGUGAGAGUUGAACAACCAUCGAGUAAGAGUUCACGAAGAGAUUUUGAAUGAAUGUUGGUUUUAAGGCUUUCAAUCUUUUUGCAACCUCGUAAAUCUAGAUAUCUAAGAUCAGGGAGACAGAAGAUGGAAGGAUGGAGCUGACACAGGCUUUCACAUUGAAAAACACUCCAUGAAGAUUUGUAUCCUUAGAUAAGUCUGGGAUCUCAAUCAGAUCUUUGGAGGAUUCAAGCCGGAGUAUGUUUAGAUUCACAAGAUUCUGUAACAAUAAAUAAACAUGACAUUGCUUAGAAACCAUUAAAUCCAUAAUUAAGCAUAAAUAGAGACUUCUUAAGAAUGUGCAUCAGACUUCCUCUCAUACCUAAAUAAAUUAACACGUACGUAUAUCCAAACACAUUUGUACCUGAACUCCAUCCCAGAGCUUUUUAAGCUUGCUAUGACCCAUGUGAAGCUCUAUGAGCAUUUCAGCACAAAAGGUUGGUGGCAAAGACUCAAGGCAGUAUCCCUCCCACAUAAGGAACCUCAAUUUAUUAGAAAGCCACUCAAGACCGUCGGGAAAGUGCACAUUGCAUGUUCUCCCAUUAGAUAUAUUAUAGAUUUUAAGAUAUCUUAAGUUUGUCAUCCUUCUAAAGGAAUCAGACUUUAAGUAAAGAUUCCCAACUUCUGUACUAUCAAAUGUUAUACCUUCCACAACUCCCGUUCCCUACCAAACAAAAAUCAGAUUAUUAAUUAGGAAAGGAUGUAAUAAAUGUUUGCUUGUUAUAUUUCAUAACCACAAACAUGUGUUUUCAUAUGGAAGUAAUUGCAUUGUCUACUUACCUUGUUUUUUUUCAAUACAUCAGAUAUUUCUUCAGCAUUCCACAAUCGACUUCGUUUUCCAGGGUUCUUAGAUUCUUGAUUAACAAUCUCUCGUCCCAUUUCUUGUAACAAAUCAUGCAUUUCUAUACCAUCAACGUCCGACUUGACAUAAACAUGCCAUAUUUUUUUUAGUUGUAUGAGAGAUUUAUCUAGAAGGACUUCUAUCCCACUUACUGCAAAGAACUCACAAGCUUCCAAAAGUUUUCUUACGAAAGAUUUACUCUCUUCUCUCAGCAAGCAUGCGUUGUCUAGAAAUAUGGCCUUUUGACAACAAUCUAAGUCAUCAUAACUCAAUUUUAAUACAUUGUAAAUUUUCGUAUUGGGAAUCUUUUGGAGCUUUUUCAAUUCAUUUUCCCAUUCAUCUUUGCCUCUUGAACUCAGAUUAGCACCUAAAACUUUUAAAGCCAGAGGAUUGCCUUUGCAAUAGGCAAUUACACUCUCUGAUAGAUCUUCAUAUCCAAUUUUAGGAUGUUUUUCCUUGAAGACAGUCAAACUGAAUAGCUGAAAAGAAUCAUGAUUAUUCAAUUCCUUAACCUCGUAUAUUUCACAUUUACUGAACUGACUAAUUAUGUGCUUAUCUCUAGUUGUAAUAAUGACCCUACUACCGGGUCCCAGCCCAUCAAUUUUUAGGAUAAAAUCUUCUAUUCUCUCUAAGGUUUCCACGCCAUCCAAUACAAUUAUAACUUUUUUAAGCGCAAUCCUUCUUUCGGAGAAAGGGACUUCUAUGUAGGGUGCAUCAGGAUGAAGAUUUUCUUCCUAUAACAAUGAAGAUAAAAGUUUAUUGUAUACAACAUUGAGUCCAUACUUGUUUGAUUCAUCCAUUACAUUGAGGAAGCAACGACCUUCGAAUUGGGAAUAAAGUUUAGCAUAUAAAGUCUUAGCAAGGGUUGUCUUUCCUAUGCCACCCAUGCCCCAUAUUCCAAGGACUUUAACAUCAUUUGACCCAAUUUUCAGCAUUGAUUCAAUUUGUUUAUAAUUUUUCUCAAUUCCAACAAGACCCUUAAUUUCAUAUGGGUAUCUAAGAUUUAGUUUCCUUAAAACAUCUUCAACAAUGUCCUUAAUGAAGUCCACUUCAAUCCUUGCACAUGAAGGAAGGAAAGGUCUUACAAGUCUAACAAAUACAAUAGAAGAAAAAUACAUCUAUAUGAUUAGUAUACAAAUUUGUAGUCAACAUGGUGGCAUUAACAUCUAUUUUUUCUACGAAGUGAAAUCCUAAAGAAAUUCCAAAAAAUCAAAAAUCAAAAAAAGGUUUUUAUGCUACCCAAACGAUAAGAUGAUGUAUUCUUUGUAUUUAGAUUUAAGAGUAUCAAUUGAGUGAUAAGUGUAUGCAGGGUACAAGAAUAUGUUGACUUUGAAGACUCCUACCCUCUUCCCAAUAGUAAAUAACUGUGCUAUAUUAGAAUACAAAACAUGCAAAUGAUAGGAAAUAGUUUAUUGAUUUUACUUUGAAUUUUGGAAACAUACAAGUGAUGAACAUAUCCAAAGCUGGAUAGUUUGUUUUAUUUACCUAUAAUUUUGAGAGUCCCAUCCAACUAAAUUAGCUGCCUCAGUGAGAGAGGCUUUCCAUUUCUCCAACUUGGCAUUAUUGUGCUUCAAAUCUUGCUUAUGUUUUGCAAAGGCUUGCUUGUAACUCCCGGUUUGCUUCCUCACAUGUGAUGGAUCAAUGUUGUAAAAAAUAGGUAUCACGAUCUGUUCCAUAUAUUGCUUGCAUUCUAGAAUCUUUUUGAGAUCAUUCAAACACCAUUUUGAGGAAGCGUAGUUUUCUGAGAAGAUGACAAUAGACACAUGUGACUCCUCAAUGGUUUUGAUGAGUGUUGGUGAGAUCUCAUCUCCUUUUUGAAGGUCAUUGUUGUCUAUGAAGGUUUCAACUUUCUUUCGACUCAAAGCAUCAUAAAGAUGGCUUGUGAAGUUUCUGCGAGUAUCCUCACCUCGAAAGCUAAGAAAAACGUCAUAUUUUUUCGGAGGCCCCACAUAAGAAGAAGAUAUAGAGGAAAAAGCACUGCUCAUUUUCUGCGCGGCGGUUAUGAUUUCCAAAUGCCUGCACUAAGCCACUAAUCACAAUGCUACAAUAAAAAAAAGUAUUGGGCUUCAUAAAUUUGAUUAUCAUUUGGAAUCAUUUUUGGCAGCAUAACAAAAAGAAUGGCAACAUUCAAAGCGAGCCUAACAAAAAUAAGGCAAAUUCUAUAUUACACCCAAUAUAUUUGAGUGUAUCGGUACAUCCACUCUUUAAAUUAAUAGUUAAAUGAGUUUUUUUUUGAAGAAAAAUAUUAUUUUUUAUCAUUUAUUAUUAUAAUAACUAAAUCUUAUUCAUAAAAAAUAUCAACAAAAUAAAAUUAUUAUUUUUUGAAUUUUUAUUGCUCAUAAUUUAUAACAUUUAUUAUUUUUUACGAUAAUAUGUAAAAAAAAAUACUAUGAUUGUCAUAAACAAUGAAAUGAUUUUUUUUUUUUUUAUGAACUGAUGUUAUAUAAAAUAUAACUAUUGACAAAGAGCUAUUUAUUACAUAAAAAAUUAUCGUUAAUUUAUAAAAUUAUGAAGAAGGAGUACCGGUACACCUCACUUUGUGAGUGUACCGUAGAAGUUUCCCAACAAAAUAAUUACAAUAAUAUAGAUGAAUGUCUUGAGACAAUUUAUUUUUGGCGAUUACUUUCUCCACCCUAUAAGGUUCUCACACGUCCUUUUUUUUUUCUUUCCAAAUUGCCCCUUAGAUUUUAGAAAAUGAAAACCAAUUCCAAAUAUAAAUUCCGAAACAUUUCGCUUUAUAAAAGCAAGAUCAGCAACUUCCACCAUUUUACAGUUUUAGUUUUACAAUUUCACUUUCUCUCUCUCUCUCUCACCGAUCCCAUAAUCCUAAAAUAUUGGUCCAAUCUUUGAGUUUUUUUUGCUCAAAAUCAUCACAUUUGAAGCUUUAUCAAACCCCAUAGUGAAGGUUAGGUCUCAUUCCAUCUGCAUACAAGCCUUUGAGUUCGAAUAUUUUUUUUGUGGCAACUGAAUAUGUUUGGAUUAUAAAAUCCAAACUGGAUUGUUGAAGUUCAGAUUUUAUAAUCUGAAGUGUACCUGUAGGCAGAUUUUUGGACAAUUUUGUGGAUUUAUAUUGAUUGCGUUUUACCUGGUUAUGCAUGUUACAAGCAUGGAUCGUGUUGGGCGCACCGUGGGUGAUGGAGAAGCAAUGCAUGUUUAUGUUUGGAGAGAGCGUUUGGAGAGGUUGCAAGCGGAGGGGAGAGUGCCCAGGCGUGGCAAGGGCAGGGAAAGGGCACGCCGUGGUGAUGCUGAUGGCGAGGGAACAUCUCAGGGGAACUAUAUUGAGCUUGAGCCACAGAGGGAGAUAAGAGAAGGUGGAGGGUGAUGUUGAGCAACAGGAGGAGGGUGAUGAAGAGCAGCAUGAGCGUGUGCAGCCAAAGCCAAAGGAGCUUGAUCACUAUCUUGGUGGCCCACACGACUUGACUGUGCUGACCAAGUACCAUGUUCACGUGGUCAGGAUGGCAGUUGAUGAAGUGGUAAGACACUGCACCUUUAAUUUAAUGAAAAUUGAAUUUUUAUGUUUAAUUAAUAAUAAUUGUAAACUUUUUGUUAAUUUUUGUCAUGUAUUAUUUCGAUUACUGUGAAACUGAUGUUAAUUUUUUGUUUUAAAUUUUAGCAGUGCGGUGACAAUUUAAAAUGUGUAAACAACAGGAAGAAGAUAGAAGCGAUACAUAAACCAAAGGUUUAAAUGUAUUUCAUCCUUGCAAUUAAGGGUCGUUUAAAAAUUGGUCCCUGUAUUCGCUAAUCCUUGCAAACUAGCCUUGCAAUAAUUAAUCAUUUAAAAUUUCGUCCUUUGACCAACUUAAUCACUGCCACGUCACUAAUUUGAUGACGUGGCAAUCACUAUCACACAUGAAAUUCCAAUUUUUCUCUUAAGAAGAGGACAAAAUAUUGAAGAAAGAAUUAGAAACUCAGGGGUAAAAUUGGAAUUUCAUGUGUGACAGUGAUUGGCACGUCAUCAAAUUAGUGAUGUGGCAGUGAUUAAGUGGGGAGAGGGACGAAAUUUUAAAUGAUUAAACAAUGCAAGGGUAAAUUGCAAGGAUUAGCGAUUACAGAGACCAAUUUUUAAACGACCCAUAAUUGCAAGGAUGAAAUACAUAUUUAAGCCUAAACCAAACAAGACUCUGAUGGCAAGACUGUGUGGUUUAAGCAUGGGCUGAAAGUCACUGGUCUUCGGUGGCUGCAGGAUAUCAGCUACAGCCAGAUUGAACACGGGCUUUGUUCUGCAAUUGUGGAGAGAUGGCACGAGGAGACAUCGAACUUUCAUCUUCCGUUUGGGGAUAUGAUAGUGGCACUGGAUGAUGUGUCAUGUUUGCUGCAUCUCGCCAUCGAGGGUAUGCUCUUGUCCUAUGAAAGUAUGUCAAGGGGUGAUGUUGUUGAGUUGUUGAUGGAAUUGUUGAGGGUUGAUGCGGGCGAGACAUGGACCGAGGUGGAAAAGAAAAAAGGUGGACAUGCACGGUUUAACUUCUUGAAGGAUAUAUACUUUCAAGGAGCAUGUUCGGGAGGCACAUGAGGUCUACCAUGCUGGUCAGUUUGUUGAGAUGCAGCAGCGGGAGUAUUUUCCAACAGAAGGUAUGGCCUAAACUAAUUUUAUCAAUUUAUUUAUUUCAAAUUCUAUGAUCAAUUUGAAAAUGACCUAUGUAAUUAGAGAAACUAGCAGUUAAAUUAAAAUUGAGGGAAAAAAGAUCAUACCAAAGUCAGAUCAAUCCAGCUUCAUGCAAUAGAGGAGAAAAAGACAGUAUGGCUUAGCUUCUGGUGGAAUCAAAUUUGGAUGAAAAUUAAUUAAGGAUAAACACACACAAACACUUCAUAAUGCCUUGGUCCUGAUGUAUAUACAUGUAAUGGGUCAAAUUUAAAAUAUAAAAUAACAAGUGUGGCUUAGCUUGCUUCCUUUUUGAUGGAGACUACUAGAUAAACUAUGGAAUUGGAUUUCAGAUUAAAAUAUAUGCAAAAUUAAGCUUGUUGUCCUUCAAUUUUGAGUCAUUUUUCAGAUUAUACCUAUUCACGUAUGUAAACACAAGUUAAUUACAAUAGGUGAGUUGCUGAGUGAAAUGUCUUAGGUGCAAUUCCAAGAACAAUUAGAUUAUACCUAUUAAGCUUGUUGUCCUUUAAUUUUGACUAUUUUUCAGAUUAUACCUUUUAGUUUUUCUUUCUUCCUUGAAUAGUUUCUUCAAAUAUUUAUAAUUACCAACAGAAGGUAGAGCCUUGGACUUAUACAAUAUAUAAGUGGCUUAGAUGUAUUCUUGUCUUUCGUUGGUCUAUGAAAUCGUAAAAACAAACACUUUCGUAUAUUUAAUUAAAUUUAAAGGUAAAGUAAAACAUUAAAUUAAUUUUAAAAUCCCUCCCCUCGUGAACCACAUCAAUUAAUGUUUUUAUUUUUUGUGGAAUUUCUAAAUGUUUUAAUUGAUUAGUUUUUUUUUUAAAGAAUGUUUUGAUUGAUUAGUUGUGUAUGUACAAAGCUGUUUUAGACCGUCGACUCGUUAAUCUUAAACCCUUAACAAAAACUGAUUUAGACCGUCGACUCGCUAAUCAAACCAAGUAAUUAAAUUAAAAAAUUACUUUCUGUUGGAGAAAAGAUACUAUUUGGAAUAUGCAUUGGAAAUAAUGAGUAGCAGAGAGAUUACAAACACUAUAUUAUUUUGUGGGAAAACCAAGAUCUUUGAUCUGUAUCAUUUAAAAAGGAAAGACCAUUAACAGAACCAUUAUUAUUCUUCUUAUCUUUAUUUCUUAUGACUCAAAAUCAUGAAACUCAAGUAGCUACUGCAAUAGGGAGAAAAAGAGGAAGAAGACCGACAAUUCAUUUAAUGACGAAGCAGAAGAUGUUAGAAGAAAGCAGCAUUGCUAUCUUCAAUGAUCAAGAACAUUGACACUGUGAUGUGAUCCUAAAAUUCUCUCUCUUGACAAGAAUAAUAAAGUCAUUGUAGAAUAAAAGAACCAAAUUAAUUUUGGGUUCAAAGUUUUAUUUUCGUAGGUCAUUAUAUGUCUGUCUUGUUUUGGCUAUAUCUGGAGCUCUGGAUAUCCGUUUGAGGUGAUCUUUAACUCGUUGGAAAGCUUACGAAAUUCUCUACAUUUCAUCUGUUUGAUUCAAGAGCAAAUUCGGAAUAUUUAAUGGUGCAGAAUGAGCUGUAGGUAGAAGACGUGGUUAAAGUAUGUUAGCUGAAGAAUUAAAGGUGGUGUUUGUGGAAUUGUAACGUCUAGCCAUAAUAAGCCUUCACAAAUCAAUGUGCAAAUGAAUAUGUAACCUUCUCAUGCAUUGAUCAACCACCAACUUUAAAGAUCCAAUUAAAUUGUAACCUCUUUUGUAAUAACUAGCCACCUAGGAAUUAUAACACUAAUUAUGCUAUGAUUGUAAGUUUUUCAGCUUCCAAGCCUAUUUCCUAUAAAAAGGGGGCGAAAAUAAUGAAGGGGACAAGUUGAAUUUAAAAAAAAUAAAAAAUAAAUAGAGAAUUUUAGGAUCACAUCACACUGCUAAGGAAAAUGAAUGGGGAUCUUUACACAAAAUUAUGAAACGCUGCAAACCUGGUUAUAGCUGACUACUUAUACCAACAAUAAAAACAGGAUCAGAUUGAUUAAUACCAGCAAUCACAGCACAGAACUGCUGAAUAAAAUUAGGAAUACUUCUGCAAAGGUAUAAAUUAUAAAGUUUAAAUAUGCCUUUAGUCCUUGCACUUUUAUCAGAUUUUGGCAUUGGUCCCUACACUUUUUUUUGUUUGGAAUUGGUCCCUGCACUUUGUAAAAAUAUUGGUAUUGGUCCCUGCACUUUGUAAAAAUAUUGAUAUUGGUGCCACGUGGCGUGAAAUGAUUGGGCCACGUGGCACUCCGUUGAUUUUGUGUUUUUUUUUUUAACAGAAAGUUAACAGGGGGUCAAUACCAAUAUUUUUACUAAGUGCAGGGACCAAUGCCAAAAUCUGAUGAAAGUGUAGGGACCAAUGACACAUUUAAACCAAAUUAUAAUUAGCACAACGUAUCAUUGCACUUAGGCAUUUAAAUGAUGAAUUUAAUACCAGUCUACUGCAUCACCGAAUCUUUCUGAAUGAAUGCGAUGAUGUUGUGCUUAUUGUAUUUGAGAAACAGGAGAAAGAGAUUACAAUAUUUCCGACUUGUAUUAUUCUUUUGACCCUCUUAGCAAGUGCCUCAAAAAAAGACCUGCCCAAUAUGUUGUUUCAGCAUAAAGUUAUUGCAAUACACCGAGCAUUAUUCACUUGAAGGAUUAAAAUUUUCUAUUAAAUAAAAAAUAUUGAAUCUAUAAUUAUAAAGUCGGUUAAAACUUCAUACCGAUUGAACAAGAAGGUUGUUCCUCUUUGCAUGAAUAGGAAGGUUGUUCCUGGUUAUCUUCAUUUUCAUUGUUAGAGCUUCUGACUUCACCUCCAAUUGCUAUAGACACAUCAGAGUCUUGAGCAAUGGAUUUUAAUUUACCAAUUUCCUUACUAAUGAUACUGCUACCACCACCUUCCAACUCACGUUCUAAGGCAUAUACAGGUAUGACCCCACACCCUUUUAUCCCCUCUGUUGACCACCACAAUUCUUCAUUGGGACCUUGAAGUAUGAAUUUAAAUGAUAAGUUACAAUCAUAACUUCCACUUUCUUGUAUGUUGUAACCAUGCCAACGCAUCAAUACAUGAUCUGAAAUUAAUGUCCCGAGAUAAUUGAAUCUAAUGCGACGUCUGUCGACUUCUUUUCCGCAUUCAAAGAUAAUACAAUGAAGGACAUGGUGGUUAACAGUGAAGCCCUCAGAAAAAAGGAUGCAAAAUAUGAAACCACACAAGUCAGAUUUAGCAAUAGGAAGAAUAGUUAUUGAAGCCUUGAUUGUCUGAAAAUCAAAAUUUAAUGGAAUUUGUGCUCCUGGCAUGAAAGAGAAAGGACGGAUAACACCUUCAUGUUCAAUAGAAGGGUCUUCACAGAACUUUUGUGCCUUGUUCUUAAUCAAUGAAAAUUGUGUGAAGUAUGUGUCCAGAUAUGUGCAAUUAACGGCUGUUAAAUAAAACAGGGAUGGCGGAAUCUCUGUUAGAGACACAAGUUUCCUGCAAUUGUCUAAUUCAAGCCAUUCUAGCAUUGAAUGGUUUUGUAUGUUCUUAGGGAGACAUUCUAAGUUGCAACACUCAUUCAAUUUUAGCCGUUUUAAAGAUUGUAUGCCAUCAAGGAUGGACGACAGACUUAUUGCAUUGAUUUCUGUGCACCCAGAAAGGUCUAGCUCUGUAACAGACCCCAGUCCAUGAUCAUCUGUUAACUUAUUCCCAACAAUAGUAAGCUUGUUACAUCCAGCUAGGUCAAGAACAGUAAGUUUGGUAUUAUGCCAAAUCGAUGAAGUCAAUUCAUGUAUAGAAGUGUCACGUAAGGAUAAUUUUGUCAUUUCCUCCGAUGUCACUGAAAAUUCUGUGAGAGAUGAACAACCAUUGAGUAAGAGUUGACGAAGAGAUUUUGAAUGAAUGUUUGUUUUAAGGCUUUCAAUACUUAUGCAACCUCUUAAGUCUAGAUAUUGAAGUUGAGGGAGAGAAAAGAUGGAUGGAUGGAGUUGACGCAAGCUUUCACAUUCCGAGAGAAGUACAACAACAAGAUUUGUAGCCCUAGAUAAGUCUGGGAUCUCAAUCAGAUCUUUGGAGGAUCGAAGCCAAAGUGUUCUUAGAUUCACAAGAUUCUGUAACAAGAAAUAAACAUCCAUGAGUGUUGAUUAAAAGAGAAACAAAACCUAGUUAAACAUAAAGAGAAACAUCCUAGCUCUGCUGCAAUUUAGUGAAAAACAUUUGUACCUGAACUCCAUCCCAGAGCUUUUUAAGCUUGCUAUGACUCAUGCAAAGAUAUACAAGCAUUUCAGCACAAAAGGUUGAUGGCAAAGACUCAAGACAGUAUCUUACCCAUAGAAGAUACCUCAAUUUAUCAGAAAUCCACUCAAGACCGUCAGGAAAGUACACAUUGCCUGUGCUCCCAUCAGAAUCAUUACAGAUAUGAAGAUAUCUUAAAUUUGUCAUCCUUCUAAAGGAAUCAGACUUCAAGUAAAUAUCCCCAACAUUUGUACUAUGGAACCUUAUACCUUCCACAACUUCAGUUCCCUGACAAAUAAAAAUUAGAUUAAUAAUUAGGAAAGGCUGUCAUGUGUACUUUCCUCGUUAUAUUUUAUAAUCACAUACAUGUUUUUUCGUAUAGAAAUGAUUGCAUUCUCUAGUUACCUUGUUUUCUUUUAAUAUAUCAGAUAUUUCUUCAGCUCUCCAUAACCGACUUCGUUUUCCAGGAUCUUUAGACUCUUGAUUAACAAUCUCCCGUCCCAUUUCUUGUAACAAAUCAUGCAUAUCUAAACCAUCAGUUUCCAAUUUGGCCAACGAGUGCCAAUUUGAUUUUAUUUGUAUGAAAGCUUUAUCUAGAAGGACUUCUAUCCCACUUUCUGCAAAGAACUCACAAGCUUCCAAGAAAUGUAUCACAAACAUUUUAUUCUCUCCUCUCAACAAGCAUGCGAUAUCUAGAAAUAUGUCCUUUUGAAAAAUAUCUAAGUUAUCAUAACUCAAUUUUAACAUAUUGUUAAUUUCCCCAUUUGGAAUCCUUUCGAGCUUUUUCAAUUCAUCUUCCCAUACUUUUUUGCCUCUUGAACGGAGAUUUUUACCUAAAACUUUUAAAGCCAAAGGGUUGCCUCUGCAAUAGGCAAUUACACUUUCCGAUAGAUCUUCAUAUCCAAUUUUAGGCUGUUUUUCUCCGAAGGCAAACAAACUGAAUAGUUGAAGAGAAUCAUGUUUGUUCAAUUCAUUAAACUCAUAUAUUUCACAAUUACUCAACUGACUUAGUAUGUGCUUAUCUCUAGUUGUAAUAAUGACCCUACUACCCAAUCCCAACCCAUAAAUUAUUAGGAUAAGAUCAUCUAAUUAAUCUAAGGUAUCCAAACCAUCCAACACAAUAAAAACUUUUUUAAGUGCAAUCCUUCUCACGGAGAAAGAGGAUUCUAUGUAGGAUGCAUCGGGAUGAAUUUUUUCUUCCUCUAACAAUGAAGACAAAAGUUUAUUGUGUAGACCAUUGACUCCAUACUUGUUUGAUUCAUCCAUUACAUAGUGGAAGCAAAGAACUUCAAAUUGGGAAUAAAGUUUACCAAAUAAAGUCCUAGCAAUGGUGGUCUUUCCUAUGCCACCCAUGCCCCAUAUUCCAAUGAUUAUAACAUCAUUUGACCCAAUUUCCAUCAUUGAUUCAAUUUGUUCGUAAUUUUUCUCAAUUCCAACAAGCCCAUUAAUAUCAUAUGGGUAUCUAGGAUUCAGUUUCCGCAAAACAUCUUCAACAAUGGCUUUAAUGAAGUCUGAGUCACUCCUAACAUAUGAAAGAGGGGAAGAAGGUUUAACAUGUCUACUAAAUACAAUAAAUAAACAUCUAUAUGAUUAGAAAUAUAUACAAAAUUUAUAGUCAACAUGAUGGUAGUGGCGUAGUAGAGCAAAAAAAGAAGCAAAAAUGAGAUUCGAGGAAAUGAAAUACCAAACACACAGUGCAAUUAAAGUCUAUUUUUUCUAGGAAGUGAAAUCCUAAAGAAAAUUAUAAAAAAAUAAAAGUUUUAUGAUACUCGAAGCAUGUGUUGCUACUAUUAAGAUUUUAGUGAUACAAAUAGAAUCAGCCAAAUCGAAGUAAAAAAAAUUGUGAGAUAGUGUAUGAUGACUUUGAUAGUUUUGAGAAGGUCAUCAACUAUGGCCAGGCACAUCAAUGUCAUUGUUCACUUCUCGAAAUAAUUUGGCCUGGUUUACUUUCUAAAAUUAUAUUUCGUCUUCAAUUUCUAAAAUUUAUGUUCAUUUCCAACUACAAAUAUGGAGAUGAAAGACUUAUGAAGUAAACAAUUGUGCUAUAUUAGAAACAAAACAUUCAAAUGAUAGGAAAUAGUUUAUUGAUUUUACUUACCUAUAAUUUCGAGAGUCCCAACCAACUAAAUUAGCUGCAUCAGUGAGAGCAGCUUUCCAUUUCUCCAACUUAUCGUUAUUGUGCUUCAAAUUUCGCUUAUGUUUUGCAAAGGCUUGCUUGUAACUCCCGGUCUGCUUCCUCACAUGUGAUGGAUCUAUGUUGUAAAAAACUGGUAUCACAAUCUGUUCCAUAUAUUUCUUGCAUUCAAGAAUCUUUUUGAGCUCAUUCAAGCACCAUUUUGAGGAAGCAUAGUUUUCUGAGAAGAUGACAAUAGAUGCAUGUGACUCCUCAAUGGCUUUGAUGAGUGCUGCCGAGAUCUCAUCUCCUUUUUGAAGCUCAUUGUUGUCUAUAAAGGUUUCAACUUUCUUUCGGCUCAGAGCGUCGUAAAGAUGGCUAGUGAAGUUUCUGCGAGUAUCCUCACCUCGAAAGCUAAGAAAAACCUCAUAUUUUUUCUUAGGGACCACAUCAGAAGAAGAUACAGAGGAAAAAGCACUGCUCAUUUUCUCCUCGUGACGGUUAUGAAUUCCCAGGGCCUGUACUAAGCCACUAAUCACAAUGCUACAAUAAAAAAAAAAAGUAAUGUUUAUUGUGUUCUUGAUACUUUUGACCACACUCAUUCUCGUUGUAAUUAGAGAAACUAGUUGUUAAAUUAAAAUUAAGAAGAAAAAAGAUCAUACCAAAGUCAGAAUCAAGCUUCAUGCAAGAAGACUUUAAAGUCAUAAAUCCCAACAGUAGUAUGGCUUAGCUUCUGCUGGAAUCAAUUUUAGAUGAAAAUUAAUUAAGGAUAAACACACACAAACACUUCAUAUAGAUGUAAUGAUUCAAAAUUAAAAUAUAAAAUAGUAAGUGUGGUUUCGUGGUUAUCCUUCAAGGAAGUUUCGUGGUUUUAUUUUCAGUUUUUCUUUCUUCCUUUGAAUAGUUUCUUUAAAUAUUCAAAUGUGUACGUCGUGGUGUUCUUCAGAAGGUAUGGCCAUCACAUUAUUCUUUAUAACAACCAUAUAAAAAAAAAAAUGACAUUAUGAAUUUGUCAUCAUGUGUGGUCAGAUCAGAUGCAUAAUGUGUAAGACGCCGGCUGAAUAAAAUAUGGCAACAAGAGAAUAUUUAGACAAACAAUGAUGCACAUAAUAUAGUGUGAAUCUAAUUUCCUAUAUUAAACUAAAUAGUUGUUACAUAAGGUUCCAUUUCUUUCUAUUUGUUUUUUUACCAAUCAAAUUAAGUAACCUUUAAACAAAUAUCAUAUAUAGUUGAACCGUUGAAUCUUGAACCUUAUUCACAUGUUCAAUGGCUGGUCCAAUCAUUUGUUUAAUGGUUGGUCCAAUUUAGAAAAUAUUAAUGAAGACGGCCUGCUUUGAUAAAUUAUUUAUUUAAAAACUUAUUUAUAUCCUUUUUUACUAACAAGGAAUUGAGACGUAACCAAAAAAAAAACAAGGAAUUGAGAUGGCCCUCUUCCGAUCUCAUCCCAACCCCACCAAUGGCCAACUUUAAAGCUAUGUUUGGAUUGGUAGAGAGUGGUGGAAUGGAAUUGAAUGAAGUGGGAUAGAUUCACAUUCUAUUGUUUGGUUUUGUAAAAAAAGGAAUAGAAUGGAAUGUAGUGUAAUGGAACUCAUUGCAUCCAAUACCACCUAUUUAACCAAUUUUCCAGUUCCUCCCAAUUUGGGGUGUAUGCAAUGAAAAAACAACAAUCUUCCUAGUAAAUACUAUAAAACAACAAUCAUCACCAAUGGUGGAAAUUAAUCAACAAAAAUUGAAAAAGACUUCCAUAAAAAUGAGUGCCUCAAAAGUAACCUUCAAAAGAUUCAAUUGAUAAGCAAUAAUCCAGCUUAACAUUGAGCUUCUCAUACGUAGCAUUCCAAUUUAUUAUGUCUGAAUUACAAGCAAUCAGAAGUUGAGGACAAGCCUAUAGAAGCUCAAAUUUUUCUGAAUAAAACCAUACCCUACACCGAAUUAGGGCUCUAUGAAGCCUCUAAUACUCGAAACAAUCGAAGAAGCAUUGGGGCUCUAAGACUAAGAAGGAGAAGAUGAAAAGAAACUAGCUACAAAAUUAAAACAUAUGUUUUCAUUGAUUAAUUACAUUCCUAAAGAUACAACACACUUAUCCCCUCUGUUGAACACCACAAUUGUUCCUUGUGACCUUGAAGUAGAAAUUGAAAUGAUAAGUUGCAAAAAUCAUAAAUUUCACUAUCUUGUCUGUUGUGAACAUGCCAGCAUACCAGUACAUAAUCAGAAAUGAAUGUCCCAAGAUAACUGUCACUAAUACAACGUAUGUCGGCUUCUUUUCCGUUUUCAAAGAUAAUACAGUGAACGGCAUCAGGGGCGGUUCUAAGGCCCGGCGACCCCCGGCUCCGGGCCAAAUUUUUUGUGUAAAUCCCUAUGAAUUUCUUAUAUAAACCCCUAUAAAUUGGGCAAUUUCUUUACAUUUUUUAUUAUUUGCUUGCAAUUUCUUAUGUACGCCCUAUAAAUGUGUUGCAAAAAAAUUUUCCGCCCAGGCUUUACAAUAUUCCUGGCUCCGCCACUGAACGGCAUGGUGGUAAACAUUAAAGCCCUCAGAAAGAAUGAUGGAAAAUAUAAAACUGCACAAAUCAGAUUUUGGAAUAGGAGGAAUAAUUAUUGAAGCCUCUAUUGUCUGAAAAUCAAACAUGCAUGCAAUGGAGUCUUCAGAGAAGGUUUGUAACAUGUUAUUAAAAAAUGACGGUUGAAUGGAGUAUGUGUCCAGAUAACUGCAAUUAACGGCAGGGAUGGUGGAAGCUCUGUUAGAGACACAAUUUUCCUGCAAUCAUCUAAAUCAAGCCAUUCCCAACAUUGAAUGGUUUUGGAUAUUGUCGGGGAGAACAUCUAAGUUGCAACACUCUUUCAAUUUUAGCCGUUUUAAAGACUAUAUACCAUCGAGGAUGGACCACAGACUUAAUGCAUCGAUUUCUGUGCACCCUGAAAGGUCUAGUUCGGUAACAAACCCAAGCCCAUGAUCAUCUGAUAACUUCUUCCCAACAGUGUUGAGCUUGUUACACUCAGUUAGACCAAGAGAAGUAAGUUUGCAAUUACGCCAAAUCGAUAAAGAUAAUUCACGUAUAGCAGUGCCAUGUAAGGAUAACUCUGUCAUUUCCUCUGAUGUCACCGAAAAUUCCAUGAGGGAUGAACAACCAUCAACUAAGAGAGAUUUUGAAUGAAAAUUGGUUUUUAGGCUAUGACUCAUGCAAAUCUCUACAAGCAUUUCAGCACAAAAGGUUGAUGGCAAAGAUUCAAGACAGUAUCCAUCCCAUCGAAGGUACCUCAAUUUAUCAGAAAUCCACUCAAGACCAUCGGGAAAGUACACAUUGCAUGUGCUCCCAUCAGAUAUAUUAUAGAUUUUAAGAUAUCUUAUAUUUUUCAUCCUUCUAAAGGAAUCAGACUUCAAUAAAGAUCCCCAACAUCUGUACAAUGGAACGUUAUACCUUCCACAGCUUCAGUUCCCUAAUAAAAACAUUUUUUUUUAAUAAUUAGGAAUGGUUCCCUGAUGAACUUUCCUUGUUAUAUUUCCCUGACGCAUUUUUGUUAUAAUUAGGAAUUGCAAACUCUAUUACCUUGUUGUUUUUCAAUAAUUCAGAUAUUUCUUCAGCCCUCCACAAUCUACUUCUUUUCCCAGGGUCUUUAGAUUCUUGAUUAACAAUCUCCCGACCCAUUUCUUGUAACAAAACAUGCAUUUCUAUUGUAUCAACAUCCAGAUUUACAUGCCAAAUAAGUUUUAGUUCUAUGAGAGCUUUAUCUAGAAGGACUUCUAUCCCAAUUGUUGCAAAGAAUCGACAAGCUUCCAAUACAUGUUUUACAAAAUCUUUAUGCUCUUCUCUCAACAAGCAUGCGAUAUCUAGAAAUAUGGCCUUUUGACAACAAUCUAAGUCAUCAUAACUCAAUUUUAACACAUUAAAAAUUUUCCUAUUGGGAAUCUUUUGGAGCAUUUUCAAUUCAUUGUCCCAUGCUUCCUUGCUUCUUGAACUCGGAUUUGCACCUAAAACUUUUAUAGCCAGAGGAUUGCCUUUGCAAUAGGCAAUUACACUCUCUGAUAGAUCUUCAUAUCCAAUUUUAGGAUGUUUUUCUCCGAAGAUAGUCAAACUCAAUAGUUGAAGAGAAUCAUGUUUGUUCAAUUCCUUAACCUCACAUAUUUGCACAUUUUGUGAAUUGACUAAAUAUGUGUUUAUAUCUAGUUGUAAUAAUGACCCCACUACCCGGUGCCAGUCCAUCAAUUUUUAGCAUAAGAUCUUCUAUUUGCUCUACAGUUUCUCUACACUAUCCAGCACAAUGUAAAAUUCUUUACGUGCAAUCCUUCUCACAGAGAAAGGGGUUUCUACGUGCAAUAAUUCUCACUCUGUUUUUUUAUUUUUUUAUUUUUUUUUCUUCUUUCUAAUCCUUUGAAUAUCUCCAGGUUCUUACUUUAUUGAAGGAAAUGUAACAUGAAGAAAAUAUAAGGAAAUGUAACAUGAAGCAAAAUUUGAGGAAAGAAAAGUUAGGCCUCAUCCUCAAGUAGUAGGAAUGUAGUCCAAUUUUGAUGGCAAAUUACACCCUAUUUCCAUUAACUUUUCAUCGGUAAGAACCAUGUCAUGGACGAGUCUUCAGAUAAGCAGAGACUUUGAGGGAGGAAUAUCUUUGCUCCAAAGUAGGAGCAAUGUGUUUUUUAAAAGAAUAAGUAUCUUUUAAAAGCUAAAUUUCCAUCAGAGGUUCUUUUCCAAAUCAAAGAAUCUUCACAGUCUUCAUCAGGAAUAGUUGCAGCACAAGCAAGCUAAUAGUAGGGAACAUCAACAGGACAUCACGAAGAAUGUUCCAGUGAAAAUUGGUGAAAUAGUAUUAGUCAGACACUUUUGAAGGGAAAGUGUUGAUAAAUAUAUUUUUCCUUAUAAAUAUAAAAAUAAAUAUUUGUCACCGAUACAAUAAAAAAAAUACACAAGACAAAUAUUCAUAAAAAAUUGGAUUAUUAUUUUUCAUUGAUAAACAAUCUAUGACACAAGAUAUAAACGGAGAAAUAAUUGUCACUAUUAAGCAGUAGUAAUUGACACAAGAUAUAAAUACUUUCAUGUACUUGAAGCUGCUCAUUCUAACCAAGGAAUUUCACUACUUCAACACCAAUGUUGCUCAGAUUUGUUUGCAAACUCAUGCUUACUUUGCUCAGAACCCUUCUCAACAUCCUCUGACCCCUCCAUGAAGUUACAGAAGCAUCAUAGCUCGAUAUCAAACAGUCUAAUGCAUAAACAGAUAUUGCGAUGAAGUAUUGUGCGAGAAACAAUGAGACAGAAAACGUUUCUGACUAUUAUAAUUCUUUGGACCCUCGAUAAAAUACAGCCGGUCAUUAUUUUCUAGAAUCAUGAGAAUUUUAAAACAAUUCUUCAAUUGAAGGAUUUAAAUCUUUUAAUAAAAUAAGCUAAGGUGGAAGGUAUGAUUGAAAAAGUGGAAAUUAUAUAGUGCUACAAUCAAAAUAAUUAACGGCUACUAACUAGCAUAACCUCUAGGAAUUAGAAAGCUUCUGCCUUGUUUAAAGAUACAAACAUACAAUUACACAGACUUGGGUCUAAUUACUUGGCGCCUGCGUCUAACAGAAGGUUGUUCCUCUACUUUGUAAGAAUAAGAAGGUUGUUCCUGAUCAUCUUCAUUUUCAUUGUUAUAGCUUCUGCCUUCACCUCCAAUUGCUAUAGACACAUAAGAGUCUUGAGCAAUGGAUUUUAACUUACCAAUUUCCUUACUAAUGCUACUACCCCAAUAUUCCCAUACAGGUAAGACCCCACACCCCUUUAUCCCCUCCUUUGACCACCGUAAUUCUUCAUUGGGACCUUGAAGUAUGAAUUGAAAUGAUAAGUUGCAAAUAUCAUAACUUCCAUUUUCUUGUCUGUUGUAACCAUGCCAACAUAUCAAUGCAUGAUCUGAAAUUAAUGUCCCAAAAUAAUUGUGACUAAUGCGACGUCUGUUGACUUCUUUUCCGCGUUCAAAAAUAAUACAAUGAAGGGCAUGGUGGUUAAUAGUGAAGCCCUCAGAAAAAAGGAUGCGAAAUAUGAAACCACAUAAGACAGAUUUUUUAAUAGGAAGAAUAGUUAUUGAAGCCUCGAUUGUCUGAAAAUCAAAAAUUAUUGGAUCUUGUGCUCCUGGCAGGAAAGAGAAAGCAUUUAUCACACCUUCUUCAAUAGAAGGGUCUUCAAAGAUCUUUCGUACCAUGUUUUCAAGCAAUGACCAUUGUGUGGAAUCUGUGUCCAGAUAAGUGCAAUUAACAGCUUUAAAAUAUAACAGGGAUGGCGGAAGCUCUAUCAGAGUCACGAGGUUCCUGCAAUCAUCUAAUUCAAGCCAUUCUAGCAUUGAAUGGUUUUGGAUAUUCUCUGGGAGACUUUCUAAGUUGCAACACUCUUUCAAUUUUAGCUGUUUUAAAGAUUGUAUGCCAUCAAGGAUGGACCACAAACUUAAUGCAUUAAUUUCUGUGCACCCUGAAAGGUCUAGUUCCGUAACAAACCCAAGUCCAUGAUCAUCUGAUAACUUAUUCCCGACAAUGUUAAGCUUGUUACAUCCAGUUAGGUUAAUAACAGUCAUUUUGGUAUUACGCCAAAUUGAUGAAGACAAUUGAUGUAUAUCAGUGCCACAUAAGGAUAACUCUGUCAUUUCCUCCGAUGUCACUGAAAAUUCCAUGAGAGAUGAACAACCAUCAAGUUUAAGGUUUCGGAGAGAAUUUGAAUGAAUAUUGGUUUUAAGGCUUUCGAUCUUUAUGCAACCUCCUAAAUCUAGUACAAUAAGUCGAGGGAGAGAAAAGAUGUAUGGAUGGAGAUGACGCAGGCUUUCACAUUUAUAGAGAUGUACUUUUUCAAGAUUUGUAGCCCUAGAUAAGUUUGGGAUCUCAAUCAGAUCUUUGGAGUAAUUAAGGCUAAAUGUGAUUAGAUUCACAAGAUUCUGUAACAAGAAAUAAACAUGCAUUAGUGUCGAUUAAAAGAGAAACAAAACCUAGUUAAGAAUAAACAGAAGCAUGCCAUACUAACUCUGCUGCAUUUUUGUGAAUGACAUUAGACUUCCUCUUGUACCUCUAUAAAGUUAACAAGUACAUCCAAACAUUUUGUACCUGAACUCCAUCCCAGAGCUUUUUAAGCUUGCUAUGAGUCAUGUGAAGCUCUACAAGCAUUUCAGCACAAAAGUUUGAUGGAAAAGACUCAGGACAAUAUCCCUCCCAUUGAAGGUACCUCAAUUUAUCAGAAAGCCACUCGAGACCAUCAGGAAAAUGUACAUUGCAUAUGCUCCCGUUGGAUAUAUUAUGAAUCUUAAGAUAUCUUAAGUUUGUCAUCCUUCUAAAGGAAUCAGACUUCAAGUAUAGAUCCCCAACUUCCGUACUAUCGAAUAUUAUACCUUCCCCAACUUUAGUUCCCUGACAACGAAAAUUAGAUUAAUAAUUAGGAAAGGCUGUCAUAUGUACUUUCAUUGUUAUAUUUUAUAAUUACAUACAUAUAUUUUCAUAUAUAAGUGAUUGCAUCCUCUGCUUACCUUGUUUUCUUUUAAUAUAUCAGAUAUUUCUUUAGCUCUCCACAACCGACUUCGUUUUCCAGGGUUUAUAGAUUCUUGAUUAACAAUCUCCUGUCCCAUUUCUUGUAACAAAUCAUGUAUAUGUAAACUAUCAACUUCCAACUUGGCAUACGAGUGCCAAUUUGGUUUUACUUGUAUGAGAGCUUUAUCUAAAACGACUUCUAUCCCACUUUCUGCAAAGAACUCACAAGCUUCCAACAAAUCUAUUAUAAAUAUUUUAUGCUCUCCUCUCAAAAAGCAUGCAAUAUCUAAAAAUAUGGCCUGUUGAAAAAAAUCUAAGUCAUCAUAACUGAAUUUUAACACGAUAUAAAUUUUCCUAUUUGGAAUCUUUUCGAGCUUUUUCAAUUCAUUUUCCCAUGCCUCUUUGCCUCUUGAGCGGAGAUUUACCCCUAAAACUUUUAAAGCCAGAGGAUUGCCUUUGCAAUAGGCAAUUACACUUUCUGAUAGAUCUUCAUAUCCAAUUUUAGGCUGUUUUCCUCCGAAGGCAUUCAAACUGAAUAGCUGAAGAGAAUCAUGAUUGUUCAAUUACAUGACCUCAUAUAUCUCACAUUUACUGAACUGACUAAAUAUGUGCUUAUCUCUAGUUGUCAUAAUGACCCUACUACCCGGUCCCAGCCCAUCAAUUUUUAGGAUAAGAUCUUCUAUUUGCUCUAAGGUUUCUAUGCCAUCUAACACAAUUAAAACUUUAAUUUUACGUGAAAUCCUUCUCUUGGAUAAAGUGGCUUCUAUGUAGGAUGCAUCAGGAUGAAUAUUUUCCUCCUCUAACAAUGAGGAUAAAAGUUUAUUGUAUACAACAUUAUGUCCAUACCUGUUUGAUUCAUCCAUUACAUUGAGAAAGCAACAACCUUCAAAUUGAGAAUAAAUUAUAGCAUAUGAAGCCCUAGCAAGAGUGGUCUUUCCUAUGCCACCCAUGCCCCAUAUUCCAAGGACUCUAACAUCAUUUGAGCCAAUUUUCAGUAUUGACUCAAUUUGGUCAUAAUUUUUCUCAACUCCAACAAGCCCCUUAAUUUCACAUGGGUAACUAAGAUUCAGUUUCCGCAAAACAUAUUUAACAAUGUCCUUAAUGAAGUCCGAUUCGAUCCUAGAAUAUGAAAGAGAGGAAGAAGAUUUUACAAGUCUAACAAAUACAAUAGUAGAAAAGUACAUCUAUAUGAUUAGUAUACAAAAUUUAUAGUCAAUAAGGUGACAGUGGCUUAGUAGAGCAAGAAACAAACAAAAAUUAGAUUUGGGGAAACAAAAUACCAAAGACACAAGGUAAUAAAUGUAUAUUUUCUAUGACUUUGGUAGUUUUCAGAAGGUUGUGUCAACUAUUACUUUGGCCUGUUUAUUUUCAAAAAUUAUUUUUAGUGUUUGUUUUCUAAAAUUUAUGUUCAUUUCCAAUUAAGAAAAUGGAGAUGAAAGACUCAUGUAGUAAAUAGCUGUGCUAUAUUAGAAAACAAAACAUGUAAAUGAUAUGAAAUAGUUUAUUUAUUUUACUUCGAAUUUUUUCGUUUUGUUUACCUGUAAUUUUGAGAGUCCCAACCAACUAAACUAGCUGCCUCAGUGAGUGCAUCUUUCCAUUCCUGUAACUUGUCAUUAUUGCUCUUCAAAUCUCGCUUAUGUUUUGCGAAGGCUUGCUUGUAACUCCCAGUCUGCUUCCUCACAUGUGAUGGAUCUAUGUUGUAAAAAACAGGUAUCACAAUCUGUACCAUAUAUUUCUUGCAUUCAAGAAUCUUUUUGAGCUCAUUCAAGCACCAUUUUGAGGAAGCAUAGUUUUCUGAGAAGAUGACAAUAGACACAUGUGACUCCUCAAUGGCUCUGAUGAGUGCUGGCGAUAUCUUAUCUCCUUUUUGAAGCUCAUUGUUGUCUAUAAAGGUUUCAACUUUC
RNAcentral lists this long non-coding RNA (33796 nucleotides) under Medicago truncatula (barrel medic). RNAcentral describes it as "long non-coding RNA (MTRU_LNC000681)". The record is from RNAcentral. Lineage: Eukaryota; Viridiplantae; Streptophyta; Magnoliopsida; Fabales; Fabaceae.